GGUUGCGAUCACACCAGCACAAAUGCACCGGAUCCCAUCAGAACUCCGCAGUUAAGCGUGCUUGGGCGAGAGUAGUACUAGGAUGGGUGACCCCCUGGGAAGUCCUCGUGUUGCAACCC
Molecule: ribosomal RNA, 119 nt
Filed under: Helianthus annuus (common sunflower)
Lineage: Eukaryota; Viridiplantae; Streptophyta; Magnoliopsida; Asterales; Asteraceae
Source: RNAcentral